Canis lupus familiaris (dog) is the source of this 567-nucleotide long non-coding RNA. RefSeq lists it as uncharacterized. NCBI's taxonomy places the organism in Eukaryota, Metazoa, Chordata, Mammalia, Carnivora, Canidae. The transcript is spliced from 3 exons. The record is from RefSeq and is a predicted model, not a curated record.
UGUCAAUCAUGCCUGUAUAAAAACCCCAAAGAAGGAGUUUGGGAGCUUCUGGGUUGGUGAACAUUGCAGAUUUAGGGAGAACAGCCCCUGGCAAGGGCAUGGAAGCUCUGUGUCCUUUCCCCAGACCUUGCCCUGUGCAUCUCUUUCAUCUGUCUCUUCCUGAGUCACAUCCUCUUGUAAGAAAACAGUCACCUGGAUUUGGCACACAUAAUCCUGGACUCAGAAGUCCCAAGAUCUGCAGUUGACAAGCUGGGGCCCCAGAGGAGCUGAUGCUGUAAUUUCAGUCUGAAAGCUGAUAGACUGGAGACCUUGAGUCAGCUGGAAAAAGACCAAUGUCUCAGUUUAAGCAGUUUUCAAAAGUCCAGAACCCAAGUUACACUGAAUACAUGCUGCACUGAGUGAGGACUCGGGCUGACAGGUGCACUCCAACACCUCUAAUGGAUCAACAUGAAUGAUGCGGCCUGUCAACAGCCCCAAGAUCUCUAUGCCCAUUUUACGAUUGUGUCCAGAGGCACUCCUCACUUCUUUAAGCUAAAAAUUCUAAGCUUGUUUCUUCCUUUCAGUGCU